Molecule: non-coding RNA, 422 nt
Filed under: Pan troglodytes (chimpanzee)
Lineage: Eukaryota; Metazoa; Chordata; Mammalia; Primates; Hominidae
Source: RNAcentral
UGGUAUUUGUAUCCACUUUUAAUUAUAUGCAAAUGAAGGGGCAGUUUAUGCAGACAUUUCCAGGGUGAGGGUGGUAACUUCUGGGUUGUUAGGUUGUUGCCAUGGAAAGGGCAGUAACUUCUGGGUGCUGCCAGGGCCAUGGUGAACUGACUUGACACAGGUCGGUGUGUCCUAUGGAAACUAGCAUCUGCCCUGGACCUAUUUUAGCUAGUGCUCAGUUUGGUCUGAGCCCUGCCUAGCACUGGAGGAGUAAAAAUCUCUGGAUACCUGAUCUAAGGAGCCCAGAGGCAGGACGAUUUCAUUCUCCGUGUCAGUGGACAGGAUGGGCUGGAAGCCUUGUGCCAGCAUUGUCUCUGGAACUGUGGUAAUCUAGAAUACACAAACUUUACUAAGAGGUUAAAGAAGCAAGGACCAAACAUUUG